UAACGCGUGGGUAACCUGCCUCAUACAGGGGAAUAGCAGCUGGAAACGGCUGAUAAAACCGCAUAAGCGCACAGUGCCGCAUGGCACAGUGUGAAAAACUCCGGUGGUAUGAGAUGGACCCGCGUCUGAUUAGCUGGUUGGCGGGGUAACGGCCCACCAAGGCGACGAUCAGUAGCCGGCCUGAGAGGGUGAUCGGCCACAUUGGGACUGAGACACGGCCCAA
RNAcentral lists this ribosomal RNA (223 nucleotides) under uncultured bacterium. Its description in RNAcentral is "partial 16S ribosomal RNA". It matches the Rfam family "Bacterial small subunit ribosomal RNA", at positions 111 to 334 of the family's 1533-position model. The record is from RNAcentral.